GUGGGGAAUUUUGGACAAUGGGCGAAAGCCUGAUCCAGCCAUGCCGCGUGCAGGAUGAAGGCCUUCGGGUUGUAAACUGCUUUUGUACGGAACGAAAAGACUCCUUCUAAUAAAGGGGGUCCAUGACGGUACCGUAAGAAUAAGCACCGGCUAACUACGUGCCAGCAGCCGCGGUAAUACGUAGGGUGCAAGCGUUAAUCGGAAUUACUGGGCGUAAAGCGUGCGCAGGCGGUUAUAUAAGACAGGUGUGAAAUCCCCGGGCUCAACCUGGGAACUGCAUUUGUGACUGUAUAGCUAGAGUACGGUAGAGGGGGAUGGAAUUCCGCGUGUAGCAGUGAAAUGCGUAGAUAUGCGGAGGAACACCGAUGGCGAAGGCAAUCCCCUGGACCUGUACUGACGCUCAUGCACGAAAGCGUGGGGAGCAAACAGGAUUAGAUACCCGGGUAGUCC
RNAcentral lists this ribosomal RNA (450 nucleotides) under uncultured bacterium. RNAcentral describes it as "partial 16S ribosomal RNA". It matches the Rfam family "Bacterial small subunit ribosomal RNA", at positions 354 to 796 of the family's 1533-position model. The record is from RNAcentral.